This 368-nucleotide long non-coding RNA is filed under the name Ananas comosus (pineapple). RNAcentral's name for it is "long non-coding RNA (ACOM_LNC014881)". Lineage: Eukaryota; Viridiplantae; Streptophyta; Magnoliopsida; Poales; Bromeliaceae. The record is from RNAcentral.
AGUACAGCUAUCGCUUCGUAUACACGAAAAAUUUCUGGGUAUAUGGCAGGUCUGUUGGCGUGCCGAGAGAAACGUGGUAAUCUGAGGCGUGACAGAUUAAGUUGGUAUCAGAGUUUAGAAUUAGGUCGUUGGGACCUAGAAACCCUAGGCUUGGCACACCUUAGAAAGUCGAGACGCGAGAGGCGUGAUUUAUUGCGAAAGUCGGUGAUUGAGUUGUUUAACUCCUCCUAGAGUGGAGGGAGUGACUGAAGGAGUGUUUGUUUCUGCCAAGAAAAUUAUGUCGGCUGCAGACGGCAUAAUUUUGAGGAAAACAAGGGGCUGCCUUUUAGACUUUCGCUUGAUUGGGUUGAUAGUUGUGUGUGUUUUAU